GUGCUUACUUCAGGAGCACAUAUUCUAAAAUUGGAAUGAUCCAAAGAAGAUUAGCAUGGUCUCUGUGCCCAAAUUUUUAAGAAGUCAUUGGUAUUAAA
Molecule: small nuclear RNA, 98 nt
Organism: Ictidomys tridecemlineatus (thirteen-lined ground squirrel)
Lineage: Eukaryota; Metazoa; Chordata; Mammalia; Rodentia; Sciuridae
Source: Ensembl